RNAcentral lists this ribosomal RNA (406 nucleotides) under uncultured bacterium. Its description in RNAcentral is "partial 16S ribosomal RNA". It matches the Rfam family "Bacterial small subunit ribosomal RNA", at positions 29 to 526 of the family's 1533-position model. The record is from RNAcentral.
AUUGAACGCUGGCGGCAGGCUUAACACAUGCAAGUCGAACGAGCGGCGGACGGGUGAGUAAUGUCUGGGAAACUGCCUGAUGGAGGGGGAUAACUACUGGAAACGGUAGCUAAUACCGCAUACCAUCAGAUGUGCCCAGCUGGGAUUUGCUAGUAGGUGGGGUAAAGGCUCACCUAGGCGACGAUCCCUAGCUGGGCUGAGAGGAUGACCAGCCACACUGGAACUGAGCAACGGUCCCGAAUCCUACGGGAGGCAGCAGUGGGGAAUAUUGCACAAGGGGCGCAAGCCUGAUGCAGCCAUGACGCGUGUAUGAAGAAGGCCUUCGGGUUGUAAAGUACUUUCAGCGAGGAGGCGGGACGCGAAGAAGAAGCACCGGCUAACUCCGUGCCAGCAGCCGCGGUAAUAG